Molecule: ribosomal RNA, 168 nt
Filed under: Candidatus Bathyarchaeota archaeon
Lineage: Archaea; Thermoproteati; Candidatus Bathyarchaeota
Description: partial 16S ribosomal RNA
Rfam family: Archaeal small subunit ribosomal RNA
Source: RNAcentral
AGAGCGGUAGCCCGGAGAUGGGCACUGAGACAAGGGCCCAGGCCCUACGGGGCGCAGCAGUUGCGAAAACUCCGCAAUGCGCGAAAGCGUGACGGGGCUACCCCGAGUGCCGUCCGCUGAGGACGGCUUUUCCACGGUGUAAGGAGCCGUGGGAAUAAGGGGGGGGCA